GUCAAAAGGUUGAGAACUGCUGAUCUAAACUCUUCCCCACCGAUGGUCUUAAAAUCUGAUCCGUUUUGCGCUGAUUAGCACUUAUCCUGGGAGAGGAGAUCAGACAGAUGAAGCUGACAUGCUUCCACCGGAACUCAAACUAGACUAAGCUUGAAUGGUGACUGCUGCUGAUAUUUAAAAAGGCGUUAACGACAUGAUUUGAGUUCUAUUGAGCUAGAAUGUUCUUUAAAGGGCUGGUGUUGAUGAAAUACCAUUUUAAAAGUUAGUGCUGAGUAGAGAGGUUUGCUGAUGUAAAAGUAAAGGGAUCCCACUUACUUUCGCGGAUGCACUUAUAGAAGCAGAAAACAUGAAAAAACAACGAAAACCUCGCCUGGAUUCACUUUUAACCUUCAGACCUUCCACCUGAUAGUCGAAGGAACUCGAACGAACUUUCAAUUACACCGUGAAAGUACGCAGUAGGGAAGGAGAGAACUACUUACUAAUAAAAUAUGCAAGCUUAUGUAUAUGUUACCAGCAAAGUCUGAGUCCAGCAUUUUAUAGAAUGCCGGAAACUGGCCGGCAAUGUAUGAAACGAUCAAAUACUUUACACACUGCCUGAAGCAUUCUAUAGGAUGCCAAAUGACAAACAGGCAAAGUAUAAAAUAACCUCUGGUUCGCUUCAAAAACCGAAAGCAUAAUUCACAAGUGCACAUCAGUAUCGCCACUGGAGGAGAAGAUUAAAAAAUAGACCAAUGAGCUUCCAUUGCUGUUGUGACGCGGAAUCUUUGAAACUGUGCAUACGAACGCAUGUUUUUGUUUACGUUUUAUUUUGCAUUUGUUUCGCAGUUAUAAUUGUACGACCAUAUAAAUGCUGCUAUCAUUUGAAUA
Long non-coding RNA from Stegodyphus dumicola, 867 nucleotides. RefSeq lists it as uncharacterized. Lineage: Eukaryota; Metazoa; Arthropoda; Arachnida; Araneae; Eresidae. The record is from RefSeq and is a predicted model, not a curated record.